UACGGGGGGGGCAAGCGUUGUCCGGAAUCAUUGGGCGUAAAGAGCGUGUAGGCGGCCCGGUAAGUCCGCUGUGAAAGUCGGGGGCUCAACCCUCGAAUGCCGGUGGAUACUGUCGGGCUAGAGUGCGGAAGAGGCGAGUGGAAUUCCUAGUGUAGAGGUGAAAUUCGUAGAUAUUAGGAAGAACACCAGUGGCGAAGGCGGCUCACUGGCUCGGUACUGACGCUGAGGCGCGAAAGCGUGGGGAGCAAACAGG
This 253-nucleotide ribosomal RNA is filed under the name uncultured bacterium. RNAcentral's name for it is "partial 16S ribosomal RNA". It matches the Rfam family "Bacterial small subunit ribosomal RNA", at positions 524 to 776 of the family's 1533-position model. The record is from RNAcentral.